GCCCUUGUGAUGAAAUUGGUAAACAUAACGGACUUAAAAUCCGUGGCCUUCACGGGCUUGCCGGUUCAAGUCCGGCCAAGGGCACCA
RNAcentral lists this transfer RNA (87 nucleotides) under Bacteroidetes bacterium MedPE-SWsnd-G2. RNAcentral describes it as "tRNA-Leu(taa)". It matches the Rfam family "tRNA". From Rfam's summary of the family: Transfer RNA (tRNA) molecules are approximately 80 nucleotides in length. The record is from RNAcentral. Lineage: Bacteria; Pseudomonadati; Bacteroidota. RNAcentral also lists the same sequence under 2 other names.